GAUGAACGCUGGCGGCGUGCCUAAUACAUGCAAGUCGAGCGAACAGACGAGGCGCUUGCUCCUCUCACGUUAGCGGCGGACGGGUGAGUAACACGUGUAUCACCUCCCUAUCAGACUGGGAUAACUUCGGGACACCGGAGAUAAUCCCGGAUAAUCUCUUGAACCGCAUGGUUCAAUGGUGAAAUACGGUUUUGCUGUAACUUCUAGAUGGUUCCGGGCCGCAUUAGCUAGUUGGUACGGUCACGGCUUUCCACGGCUACGAUGCGUAGCCGACCUACGAGGGGGAUCGGCCACCUUGGAAGUGAGACACGGUCCUGACUCCUACGGUAGGCAGCAGUAGGGAAUCUUCCGCAGUGGGCGAGAGCCUGACGGAGCAAGGCCGCGUGUGUGAUGAAGGUCUUCGGAUCGUAAAACUCGGUUAUUAGGGAUGAACAAAUGUGGAAGGAACUAUGCACGGCGUGACGGUACCUAGUCAGAAAGCCACGGCUAACUACGUG
Molecule: ribosomal RNA, 497 nt
Filed under: uncultured bacterium
Lineage: Bacteria
Description: partial 16S ribosomal RNA
Rfam family: Bacterial small subunit ribosomal RNA
Source: RNAcentral